UUGGUGUCCCUCUGUAAGUAGCAGCACCUCCACUGGAACAGAAAGAGCUUCCACAUGGAGUUGCUGUUACAUGCAGCCAGCACCAG
Non-coding RNA from Xyrichtys novacula (pearly razorfish), 86 nucleotides. The record is from the annotation of a GenBank genome assembly. NCBI's taxonomy places the organism in Eukaryota, Metazoa, Chordata, Actinopteri, Labriformes, Labridae.